This is a long non-coding RNA of Octopus bimaculoides (California two-spot octopus), 895 nucleotides long. RefSeq lists it as uncharacterized. Lineage: Eukaryota; Metazoa; Mollusca; Cephalopoda; Octopoda; Octopodidae. The record is from RefSeq and is a predicted model, not a curated record.
GUAUACACACAGUUGCAACCACAUAAAUACGUACGUACAUACACACACACACAUACAUAAAAUACAUACACACAUGCACAAACAUACAUUCAUACAGACAGACAUACAUACACAUAUAUACAAACACAAUAUACAUACAUAUACACUCGCCCCACCCACACAUACACACACAUACAUACAUACAUACAUACGUACACACAUACAUGCAUACAUACAUACACACGUAUAUACACACAUACACACGUAUAUACAUAUGAGGAUUAUUUCUGUGGCGCAUCUUUUACGUUCGAGGAUGUUGAAGUCGGAAAGUCUGCCAAGGGUCUCUUAAUUACUUCUAAACCAACUUAAAACACACACGGACACACAAAUACUUGAACGAGACCUUGAGAUAAAGGUACCAAGGAAGAUAACGUGCAAGUGCGCUAUGACGUCUUCUUACAAUGGAAUAUCAUAUUCUCAUUAAAGAACUUUUACUACUCGUCCAAGAGUCGCCAGUGCUUUACCAAUGUACUUUGAGUUUCAACAUUACAGUUGCUUUUGGUAAAAUCAUUUCCAGCUCGUGUACUCUAAUGAUUUUCUAGAAACGUCGAUCACACUGCUUAUUGUGCUUCUCUCUGGAAGGAAACUAUUGGCUUACCUUGAAGUUCGUUGUUGCAGAUAAAUGUGCUUAAAUCGAAAGAGCAAAAAACGUUUCAAAACAUUCAAGUACGAAACAUAAGUUCCAGUGCCACGUUGCUCUCGUGGAAUUGAAAGGAAUUGAACUGAGAUCAACAUUAGUGAAUCAAUUCUAUUUUUAAUGGUAUGAACCUACGGAGUUAAAAACUGAAAUUUAUCUGUAUUAUCAAAUGUAUUAGGAACUAACUACAUUUGUUUCCAAACGUUUAAAAAAUAUUUC